CCUACGGGAGGCAGCAGUGGGGAAUCUUGCGCAAUGGGCGAAAGCCUGACGCAGCAACGCCGCGUGCGGGAAGAAGGCUUUCGGGCUGUAAACCGCUUUCAGCAGGAACGAAAAUGACGGUACCUGCAGAAGAAGGAGCGGCCAACUAUGUGCCAGCAGCCGCGGUGAUACAUAGGCUUCAAGCGUUGUCCGGAUUUAUUGGGCGUAAAGAGUUCGUAGGCGGUCGAGUAAGUCGGGUGUGAAAAUUCUGGGCUCAACCCAGAGACGCCACCCGAUACUGCUUAACUUGAGUUCGAUAGGGGAGUGGGGAAUUCCUAGUGUAGCGGUGAAAUGCGCAGAUAUUAGGAGGAACACCGGUGGCGAAGGCGCCACUCUGGAUCGAUACUGACGCUGAGGAGCGAAAGCAUGGGUAGCAAACAGGAUUAGAUACCCUGGUAGUCCAUGCCGUAAACGGUGGGCACUAGGUGUGGGAUUCUAUUAACGAUUUCCGNGCCGUCGCUAACGCAUUAAGUGCCCCGCCUGGGGAGUACGGUCGCAAGACUAAAACUCAAUGAAUUGACGGCUGAGAGUGCGAGCGACGACGAGGAGAGG
This 591-nucleotide ribosomal RNA is filed under the name uncultured bacterium. Its description in RNAcentral is "bacterial SSU rRNA". It matches the Rfam family "Bacterial small subunit ribosomal RNA", at positions 338 to 945 of the family's 1533-position model. The record is from RNAcentral.